UGCAAGUCGAACGAUGAUCUCCAGCUUGCUGGGGGGAUUAGUGGCGAACGGGUGAGUAACACGUGAGUAACCUGCCCUUGACUCUGGGAUAAGCCUGGGAAACUGGGUCUAAUACCGGAUAUGACCAUUCCACGCAUGUGGUGGUGGUGGAAAGCUUUUGCGGUUUUGGAUGGACUCGCGGCCUAUCAGCUUGUUGGUGGGGUAAUGGCCUACCAAGGCGACGACGGGUAGCCGGCCUGAGAGGGUGACCGGCCACACUGGGACUGAGACACGGCCCAGACUCCUACGGGAGGCAGCAGUGGGGAAUAUUGCACAAUGGGCGGAAGCCUGAUGCAGCGACGCCGCGUGAGGGAUGACGGCCUUCGGGUUGUAAACCUCUUUCAGUAGGGAAGAAGCGUAAGUGACGGUACCUGCAGAAGAAGCGCCGGCUAACUACGUGCCAGCAGCCGCGGUAAUACGUAGGGCGCAAGCGUUAUCCGGAAUUAUUGGGCGUAAAGAGCUCGUAGGCGGUUUGUCGCGUCUGCUGUGAAAGACCGGGGCUCAACUCCGGUUCUGCAGUGGGUACGGGCAGACUAGAGUGCAGUAGGGGAGACUGGAAUUCCUGGUGUAGCGGUGAAAUGCGCAGAUAUCAGGAGGAACACCGAUGGCGAAGGCAGGUCUCUGGGCUGUAACUGACGCUGAGGAGCGAAAGCAUGGGGAGCGAACAGGAUUAGAUACCCUGGUAGUCCAUGCCGUAAACGUUGGGCACUAGGUGUGGGGGACAUUCCACGUUUUCCGCGC
Molecule: ribosomal RNA, 780 nt
Filed under: Arthrobacter sp. 2P1H5
Lineage: Bacteria; Bacillati; Actinomycetota; Actinomycetes; Micrococcales; Micrococcaceae
Description: bacterial SSU rRNA
Rfam family: Bacterial small subunit ribosomal RNA
Source: RNAcentral